RNAcentral lists this ribosomal RNA (468 nucleotides) under uncultured bacterium. RNAcentral describes it as "partial 16S ribosomal RNA". It matches the Rfam family "Bacterial small subunit ribosomal RNA", at positions 28 to 507 of the family's 1533-position model. The record is from RNAcentral.
GACGAACGCUGGCGGCGUGCUUAACGCAUGCAAGUCGAACGGAAAGGCCCUGCUUUUGUGGGGUGCUCGAGUGGCGAACGGGUGAGUAACACGUGAGUAACCUGCCCUUGACUUUGGGAUAACUUCAGGAAACUGGGGCUAAUACCGGAUAGGAGCUCCUGCUGCAUGGUGGGGGUUGGAAAGUUUCGGCGGUUGGGGAUGGACUCGCGGCUUAUCAGCUUGUUGGUGGGGUAGUGGCUUACCAAGGCUUUGACGGGUAGCCGGCCUGAGAGGGUGACCGGCCACAUUGGGACUGAGAUACGGCCCAGACUCCUACGGGAGGCAGCAGUGGGGAAUAUUGCACAAUGGGCGGAAGCCCGAUGCAGCAACGCCGCGUGCGGGAUGACGGCCUUCGGGUUGUAAACCGCUUUCGCCUGUGACGAAGCGUGAGUGACGGUAAUGGGUAAAGAAGCACCGGCUAACUACGUG